UGUGCUACAUGGGGAGGUAGCGGUGCCCUGUACUUGCAAUCCGCUGUAGCAAGGUGGAAUUCCCUCUCAGAGGCUUAUAUUGUGAGGAUUGUCUUUUUUAAGUGGCGUUGAUAACUUGGUCUCGCGCAACGAAAUCCUGUGAACCCUGCCAGGUCCGGAAGGAAGCAGCAGUAAACAGACCAUUUUGUGUGACGCGAGGGUGCUGGGUUAGAGUUAACUAUUUAAGCAUACUUGUGAUAUAACGUCGAAAGAGGGUGCAC
This 260-nucleotide signal recognition particle RNA is filed under the name uncultured Sedimentibacter sp. RNAcentral's name for it is "Bacterial large signal recognition particle RNA". It matches the Rfam family "Bacterial large signal recognition particle RNA". Rfam says of the family: The signal recognition particle (SRP) is a universally conserved ribonucleoprotein involved in the co-translational targeting of proteins to membranes. Lineage: Bacteria; Bacillati; Bacillota; Tissierellia. The record is from RNAcentral.